This 289-nucleotide long non-coding RNA is filed under the name Gossypium raimondii (Peruvian cotton). Its description in RNAcentral is "long non-coding RNA (GRAI_LNC004475)". Lineage: Eukaryota; Viridiplantae; Streptophyta; Magnoliopsida; Malvales; Malvaceae. The record is from RNAcentral.
AAAUGAACGAAGCGUUAUUUGAUCACAAUGAGGUGGAUCGGCCGAAUCAAGUGAUAUGGAAAUGAUAAAAGGGUGAUUGAAUUAGUUGUCUACUAAAGAAAAAAGAAAAAAAGAAGAGAAAUAAGAGAAUUGAUGACUUCCUAAUGAUUACCUAGCUUAAGAAAAUUAGUUCCACCACCCAAAUAAAUUCCUUCCGUCCACCGCACAUUACCUCGGCCCCAUUACAACCUUUAUUUAGCCUCGAUUAUAUUUAUGAAAUUUUAUGUAUUAUGUUUAAGGUAAGAUGGAC